Molecule: ribosomal RNA, 396 nt
Filed under: uncultured bacterium
Lineage: Bacteria
Description: partial 16S ribosomal RNA
Rfam family: Bacterial small subunit ribosomal RNA
Source: RNAcentral
AUAUUGGACAAUGGGCGCAAGCCUGAUCCAGCUAUGCCGCGUGAGUGAUGAAGGCCUUAGGGUUGUAAAGCUCUUUCAGUGGGAAGGUAAUUGCGGUACCCCCCAGAAGAGCCCCCGCCUACCUUCGUGCAGGCAGCCGCGGAAAUACGAAGGGGGCUAGCGUUGUUCGGAUUUACUGGGCGUAAAGCGCACGUAGGCGGAUCGGUCAGUUAGGGGUGAAAUCCCGGAGCUCAACUCCGGAACUGCCUUUAAUACUGCCAGUCUAGAGACCGAGAGAGGUGAGUGGAACUCCUAGUGUAGAGGUGGAAUUCGUAGAUAUUAGGAAGAACACCAGUGGCGAAGGCGGCUCACUGGCUCGGUACUGACGCUGAGGUGCGAAAGCGUGGGGAGCAAACA